UGCAGUCGAACGGCAGCGGGUCCUUCGGGAUGCCGGCGAGUGGCGAACGGGUGAGUAAUGCAUCGGAACGUGCCCAGUCGUGGGGGAUAACGCAGCGAAAGUUGUGCUAAUACCGCAUACGACCUGAGGGUGAAAGCGGGGGACCGAAAGGCCUCGCGCGAUUGGAGCGGCCGAUGUCUGAUUAGCUAGUUGGUGGGGUAAAGGCCUACCAAGGCGACGAUCAGUAGCGGGUCUGAGAGGAUGAUCCGCCACACUGGGACUGAGACACGGCCCAGACUCCUACGGGAGGCAGCAGUGGGGAAUUUUGGACAAUGGGCGCAAGCCUGAUCCAGCCAUUCCGCGUGAGUGAAGAAGGCCUUCGGGUUGUAAAGCUCUCUCAGUCGGAACGAAACGGUGCGCUCUAACAUAGCGUGCUAAUGACGGUACUGACAGAAGAAGCACCGGCUAACUACGUGCCAGCAGCCGCGGUAAUACGUAGGGUGCGAGCGUUAAUCGGAAUUACUGGGCGUAAAGCGUGCGCAGGCGGAUUGUUAAGCAAGACGUGAAAUCCCCGGGCUUAACCUGGGAAUGGCGUUUUGAACUGGCAGUCUAGAGUGCGUCAGAGGGGGGUGGAAUUCCACGUGUAGCAGUGAAAUGCGUAGAGAUGUGGAGGAACACCGAUGGCGAAGGCAGCCCCCUGGGAUGACACUGACGCUCAUGUACGAAAGCGUGGGUAGCAAACAGGAUUAGAUACCCUGGUAGUCCACGCCCUAAACGAUGUCAACUGGUUGUUGGGGGGAGUGAAAUCCCUUAGUAACGAAGCUAACGCGUGAAGUUGACCGCCUGGGGAGUACGGUCGCAAGAUUAAAACUCAAAGGAAUUGACGGGGACCCGCACAAGCGGUGGAUGAUGUGGAUUAAUUCGAUGCAACGCGAAAAACCUUACCUACCCUUGACAUGUCCGGAAUCCUGCUGAGAGGUGGGAGUGCCCGAAAGGGAAUCGGAACACAGGUGCUGCAUGGCUGUCGUCAGCUCGUGUCGUGAGAUGUUGGGUUAAGUCCCGCAACGAGCGCAACCCUUAUCAUUAGUUGCUACGCAAGGGCACUCUAAUGAGACUGCCGGUGACAAACCGGAGGAAGGUGGGGAUGACGUCAAGUCCUCAUGGCCCUUAUGGGUAGGGCUUCACACGUCAUACAAUGGUCGGUACAGAGGGUUGCCAAGCCGCGAGGUGGAGCCAAUCCCAGAAAGCCGAUCGUAGUCCGGAUUGUUCUCUGCAACUCGAGAGCAUGAAGUCGGAAUCGCUAGUAGUCGCGGAUCAGCAUGUCGCGGUGAAUACGUUCCCGGGUCUUGUACACACCGCCCGUCACACCAUGGGAGUGGAAUCUGGCAGAAGUAGGUAGCCUAACCGCAAGGGGGCGCUAUC
Molecule: ribosomal RNA, 1401 nt
Filed under: uncultured bacterium
Lineage: Bacteria
Description: bacterial SSU rRNA
Rfam family: Bacterial small subunit ribosomal RNA
Source: RNAcentral